GCCCGUGUCUCGGGCAGUCUGGCGGGGGGAGCCUGGGGCAGCUGGCCAGCUGGCCUAGUGAUCUGUCCGCUGGGGAGAGCUGGACACUUGCAUCUCACCUGAGCAUCCGUUACCAUAUAAAGGCAGAUGUCUUCCCCCAACAGCACCUGGGGGUUUACGUGUACUCUGUGUUCCUGGCACUGCUCAUGCCUCCAGCAUGAAAUUUCGCAAAGUUCAAUACAAUCUGAGGAGCCUCUAUCACUGCUAAAUUAGGAGAAUAAUAACAAGAGAGCAGCAAGAACGAGCGGCAGGAGACAAGCGGCUUAUGUGAAGGAUGGGGUGAGCGGAUUUGCCAGCGCUUCGUGUUCCCCUCUGGCCACAUCACUCGUCAGUGGUGCAAGGGAAGAAACUCUCCCAACUCAGACAUUUAGAAACAAAAAGUGUGAUGAGGUUUCACAGCACCUUGGAAGAAAAGCAGAGAUUUGGGAGGAGUCCCCAGCAGAGGCCACAGCCAGCGUGCUGCAAUGAGCCGUUGCCCAAGAGGGGAGCUCCGAAGGCUGCCGAAGCCCCUCCAGCAGGAUGAGAACCACAAACAAGUUAAGCUGCUUCUGUCCGCAUAUGAUGCUUGACUAACCUUGACGGUGACAGAGAUGGCCAGGCGAUGGUCACCUGCAGCGCAGCUGGGCAAUAGGCAGCCUCCAAGGCGCUCUUCUCUCCAAAGGUUUUUCAGGGACUGUCGAUCUCCUCCCCCACCUUCCUGGCUGGCCGUGCAGGGUCCAAGGCUUGCUUGUGUUCGCUGGCAGUGGUGAGGAAGCAGCGUUUGGAGACGAAAGUGUUGGUAGGCCCUGGGCUGAGCUUUGUAAGGGGUUGCUGGUUCUUUGGUGUGUUGAGUUUGUGUGUUUAUACAUAAACAUGCCUCCUUGGCUUCUGCUGUCG
Molecule: long non-coding RNA, 915 nt
Filed under: Apteryx owenii (little spotted kiwi)
Lineage: Eukaryota; Metazoa; Chordata; Aves; Apterygiformes; Apterygidae
Description: lncRNA (ENSAOWG00000013299.1)
Source: RNAcentral